UACGAAGGGUGCUAGCGUUGUUCGGAAUCACUGGGCGUAAAGCGCGCGUAGGUGGCUAUGCAAGUCAGAGGUGAAAUCCCCAGGCUCAACCUGGGAACUGCCUUUGAAACUGCAAAGCUUGAGUGUUGGAGGGGAUAGCGGAAUUGCUAAUGUAGAGGUGAAAUUCGUAGAUAUUAGCAGGAACACCGGUGGCGAAGGCGGCUAUCUGGACAACAACUGACACUGAGGCGCGAAAGCGUGGGGAUCAAACAGG
This 253-nucleotide ribosomal RNA is filed under the name uncultured bacterium. Its description in RNAcentral is "partial 16S ribosomal RNA". It matches the Rfam family "Bacterial small subunit ribosomal RNA", at positions 524 to 776 of the family's 1533-position model. The record is from RNAcentral.